UUUAAGGCUGCAAAUCUUAUGUUUCUAUUUGUAGCAUGCCGCAUUGUCGCAUAUGUUGUUUUUGCAUAAAUUA
Molecule: long non-coding RNA, 73 nt
Organism: Maniola jurtina (meadow brown)
Lineage: Eukaryota; Metazoa; Arthropoda; Insecta; Lepidoptera; Nymphalidae
Exons: 3
Source: RefSeq, a predicted model, not a curated record